RNAcentral lists this unclassified non-coding RNA (377 nucleotides) under uncultured fungus. RNAcentral's name for it is "sequence contains ITS1". The stretch from base 1 to 106 matches the Rfam family "5.8S ribosomal RNA", at positions 50 to 154 of the family's 154-position model. The record is from RNAcentral. Lineage: Eukaryota; Fungi.
GAAAUGCGAUACGUGGUGUGAAUUGCAGAAUCCCGUGAACCAUCGAGUCUUUGAACGCAAGUUGCGCCCAAGGGACCCUCCCGAGGGCACGCCUGCCUCAUGGGCGUUAGAAGCCCAUCCACGCUCGGCUGCCUGAGUAACGGCAAGAGAUGCGGAUACUGGCCCUCCGAGCCGCGAGGCGCGGUGGGCCUAAGUGUGCGGCCGUCGUACGUGGCCGGGAGCGGCGAGUGGUGGGCUACUGCGCACGUCACCCCGAGCCCCGUACCGACGCAGGGCCUUGUUUGAACCCCUAACGAGGAGCAUGCCGUCGCGGCUUCUGCUGCGCGGCGCCUUCGGACCGAUACCCCAGGUCAGGCGGGGCUACCCGCCGAGUUUAA